GCCCACGUAGCUCAGUUUGGUAGAGCACGUUCUUGGUAAGAACGGGGUCGUCAGUUCGAUUCUGACCGUGGGCUCCA
This 77-nucleotide transfer RNA is filed under the name Dehalococcoidia bacterium. RNAcentral describes it as "tRNA-Thr". It matches the Rfam family "tRNA". Rfam says of the family: Transfer RNA (tRNA) molecules are approximately 80 nucleotides in length. Their secondary structure includes four short double-helical elements and three loops (D, anti-codon, and T loops). Lineage: Bacteria; Bacillati; Chloroflexota; Dehalococcoidia. The record is from RNAcentral.